This 107-nucleotide small nucleolar RNA is filed under the name Olea europaea subsp. europaea. Lineage: Eukaryota; Viridiplantae; Streptophyta; Magnoliopsida; Lamiales; Oleaceae. The record is from RNAcentral.
AACCUAAGUUGUGGACAUUGUUGAAGAAAAUCUUUAUAUCUUUCUCAUACCUCAUAAUAGAACCAUGAAUUAAGCUAUGAGAACUUAGUAAUCUCAUCUAUCAACUU